GACGAACGCUGCGGCGUGCCUAAUACAUGCAAGUGGGACGCAAGGGAACACACUGUGCUUGCACACCGUGUUUUCUUGAGUCGCGAACGGGUGAGUAACGCGUAGGUAACCUGCCUAUUAGCGGGGGAUAACUAUUGGAAACGAUAGCUAAUACCGCAUAAUAUUAAUUAUUGCAUGAUAAUUGAUUGAAAGAUGCAAGCGCAUCACUAGUAGAUGGACCUGCGUUGUAUUAGCUAGUUGGUAAGGUAAGAGCUUACCAAGGCGACGAUACAUAGCCGACCUGAGAGGGUGAUCGGCCACACUGGGACUGAGACACGGCCCAGACUCCUACGGGAGGCAGCAGUAGGGAAUCUUCGGCAAUGGACGAAAGUCUGACCGAGCAACGCCGCGUGGGUGAAGAAGGUUUUCGGAUCGUAAAGCUCUGUUGUAAGUC
This 433-nucleotide ribosomal RNA is filed under the name Streptococcus mutans. RNAcentral describes it as "bacterial SSU rRNA". It matches the Rfam family "Bacterial small subunit ribosomal RNA", at positions 28 to 444 of the family's 1533-position model. Lineage: Bacteria; Bacillati; Bacillota; Bacilli; Lactobacillales; Streptococcaceae. The record is from RNAcentral.